GCGGCGAACGGGUGAGUAACACGUGAGCAACCUGCCCCUGACUCUGGGAUAAGCGGUGGAAACGCCGUCUAAUACCGGAUACGACCUUCCGCCUCAUGGUGGAGGGUGGAAAGUUUUUUCGGUCAGGGAUGGGCUCGCGGCCUAUCAGCUUGUUGGUGGGGUAACGGCCUACCAAGGCGAUUACGGGUAGCCGGCCUGAGAGGGCGACCGGCCACACUGGGACUGAGACACGGCCCAGACUCCUGCGGGAGGCAGCAGUGGGGAAUAUUGCGCAAUGGGCGAAAGCCUGACGCAGCGACGCCGCGUGGGGGAUGACGGCCUUCGGGUUGUAAACCUCUUUUACCACCAACGCAGGCUCCGGGUUCUCUCGGGGUUGACGGUAGGUGGGGAAUAAGGACCGGCUAACUACGUGCCAGCAGCCGCGGUAAUACGUAGGGUCCGAGCGUUGUCCGGAAUUAUUGGGCGUAAAGAGCUCGUAGGCGGCGUGUCGCGUCUGCUGUGAAAGACCGGGGCUUAACUCCGGUUCUGCAGUGGAUACGGGCAUG
Molecule: ribosomal RNA, 545 nt
Filed under: Nocardiopsis alba
Lineage: Bacteria; Bacillati; Actinomycetota; Actinomycetes; Streptosporangiales; Nocardiopsidaceae
Description: bacterial SSU rRNA
Rfam family: Bacterial small subunit ribosomal RNA
Source: RNAcentral